AAAAUUCUUUUUAAUGAAAGCACACAUCACCUACCUUAAUCAGCAAAAAAAAACCAAAAAGUAGUACCAAUAAAUUGAAUUUAGGAGAGGUUAAAAUCAAAUUGCCUUUUUGUAGCUUAACCAAGAAGAAAUAAUAAUUUUGUCAAAAAAAAGAAGAAAUAAUAAUACAUUAAAACAAUGAUACGUAUACGAUCCAUUCAAAAAAAAAAAAAUGAUACGUAUACGAAAUAGAAGCCCAAAAAAAAGUCAGCUUUUCACAUGAUCUCCGAAUCCAUAGGCCCAAACCUUCCGCAAGUUUCAUAACCCACAUUAAUACGUAAAGUACCAUUCAUUUUAUUCACCGCCCAUAAAAUUUCUCAUCCUAUGUUCGUUUUUUUAACCCACAAUUUAAGCCCAUUUUCUCUCUCCUCUCUUUCUCUCUCUUUUUCUGCCGUCGAUUUACCAGAUCUCUUUCGCCGAUUAUCGUCUCCGAUCGCCGAUUUUUUGGUUUUUGGUUGAUCUAACAUACAAAGAUGACUACUGAUGAGCAAGAUCAAGAUGUCAUCCGGUGGGGUUUGAAUCUUCUUGAUUUUGGACCUCUGUUCAAUAGUACAUAUGGUGGGGAUUAUAAUACAGAAGAUGGGAGCAGUUAUCAUCAACAAUAUAUGAGAGAGUACAAUUAUGAUACAGCGUGUAAUUCCCACUGUAACUAUGUAGAAAGUGAUGCUAUACUUGCGCAUAGUCUACAAGAAGAAUUCUCACGAUUAGAAGUUGAUAAUGCAGCUCAAUCUUCGCAUGCAGAACAGCAGCAGUUUCAUUCAUCCAAUGUUUCAUCAGACUGGCUUAUACCAUCUUCUGCCAAUUACUGUCCUGUUCUUGAGAAUACCCAGGAGGCAGAUGAUACAGGACACUCAAGUUCAUGUUCCAGCCCAGGAGAAAGGUCCAAUGAUGGUGAAGAUUAUUCGUAUUCUCUGGAAUUUGCAGACGAGUCUGCACUUGAUGGAGAACUGGGGAAGAGGUUAAAUCAAAUGAUCCCUGUGCCACAUGUCCCUCGAAUUAAUGGGGAAAUACCUUCAAUGGAUGAAGCAACUUCAGAUCAUCAAAGACUACUAGAUAGAUUGCAGUUGUAUGAUUUGGUUGAGCGCAAGGUCCAGGGGGAUGGCAAUUGCCAGUUUCGUGCUUUGUCAGAUCAAUUCUAUCGCACCCCAGAGCACCACAAGUUUGUGAGGCAACAGGUUGUCACUCAGCUCAAGUCAGAUUCAGAGGUUUACGAGGGAUAUGUGCCCAUGGAGUAUGGUGAAUACUUAAACAAGAUGUCAAAGAGUGGUGAAUGGGGAGAUCAUGUCACCUUGCAGGCAGCUGCUGACUCGUAUGGUGUUAAGAUAUUCCUCAUUACUUCUUUCAAGGACACCUGUUAUAUGGAGAUUAUUCCAAAGGUUCAGAAGUCAAAGCGAGUCAUCUUUCUGAGCUUUUGGGCAGAAGUGCACUACAAUUCAAUCUAUCCGCAAGGAGACGAGGAAAUGCAAUGAAUUGGAGUGUCCAUUCAAUAUCUCUUGGUUGUUUAUGAGACUAAAGAUCAAGAGUUGCCGCCGCCCUGGGAGAUGAAAAAGAAGAAAAGAUGGUGGCUUUUCAGAAACAAUUGAGGAGGCCGGUUAUAUAUUGAUGCUUUUUAAUACUUCUAAUUUAUCUGUAUAUAUGGGUCUAGAGCAGCAAUGCAAGCAUCGCAUUUUAUUAAUAAUCUCUUAUUCUUUCUUUGUAUUUCUCUGUUUGCGGCCCUGGAGAAUAUUGUGCAGGUGAUGGGAAUUAGCUUGGAACAUAAACAUAAUCAUAAACAUAUAUAUAAAGGCUGGCAUGCUUUUUGAUUUCGCAUGCCAUUUCGGUUUCA
Molecule: RNA transcript, 1864 nt
Organism: Chenopodium quinoa (quinoa)
Lineage: Eukaryota; Viridiplantae; Streptophyta; Magnoliopsida; Caryophyllales; Amaranthaceae
Gene name: OTU domain-containing protein 5-like
Exons: 12
Source: RefSeq, a predicted model, not a curated record